GACGAACGCUGGCGGCGUGCUUAACACAUGCAAGUCGAACGGAAAGGCCCUGCUUGCAGGGUGCUCGAGUGGCGAACGGGCGAGUAACACGUGGGUGAUCUGCCCCUUACUUUGGGAUAAGCCUGGGAAACUGGGUCUAAUACUGGAUAGGACCAUGCUGUAGGUGGUGUGGUGGAAAGAUUAGUUUCGGUAAGGGAUGAGCUCGCGGCCUAUCAGCUUGUUGGUGGGGUAAUGGCCUACCAAGGCGUCGACGGGUAGCCGGCCUGAGAGGGUGGACGGCCACAUUGGGACUGGGAUACGGCCCAGACGCCUACGGGAGGCAGCAGUGGGGAAUAUUGCACAAUGGGCGCAAGCCUGAUGCAGCGACGCCGCGUGGGGGAUGACGGCCUUCGGGUUGUAAACUCCUUUCAGCCAUGACGAAGCCCUUGUGGUGACGGUAGUGGUAGAAGAAGCACCGGCUAACUACGUG
RNAcentral lists this ribosomal RNA (469 nucleotides) under uncultured bacterium. Its description in RNAcentral is "partial 16S ribosomal RNA". It matches the Rfam family "Bacterial small subunit ribosomal RNA", at positions 28 to 507 of the family's 1533-position model. The record is from RNAcentral.